UACGUAGGGUGCGAGCGUUACUCGGAAUUACUGGGCGUAAAGCGCGCGCAGGCGGUUUUGUAAGCCAGAUGUGAAAUCCCCGGGCUCAACCUGGGAAUGGCAUUUGGGACUGUAAGGCUGGAGUAUGGCAGAGGGGACUAGAAUUCCUGGUGUAGCAGUGAAAUGCGUAGAUAUCAGGAGGAAUACCGAUGGCGAAGGCAGGUCCCUGGGCCAAUACUGACGCUCAUGCACGA
RNAcentral lists this ribosomal RNA (233 nucleotides) under uncultured bacterium. RNAcentral's name for it is "partial 16S ribosomal RNA". It matches the Rfam family "Bacterial small subunit ribosomal RNA", at positions 524 to 756 of the family's 1533-position model. The record is from RNAcentral.